GACGAACGCUGGCGGCGCGCCUAAUUCAUGCAAGUUGAGCGAUGAAGAUUGGUGCUUGCACCAAUUUGAAGAGCAGCGAACGGGUGAGUAACGCGUGGGGAAUCUGCCUUUGAGCGGGGGACAACAUUUGGAAACGAAUGCUAAUACCGCAUAACAACUUUAAACAUAAGUUUUAAGUUUGAAAGAUGCAAUUGCAUCACUCAAAGAUGAUCCCGCGUUGUAUUAGCUAGUUGGUGAGGUAAAGGCUCACCAAGGCGAUGAUACAUAGCCGACCUGAGAGGGUGAUCGGCCACAUUGGGACUGAGACACGGCCCAAACUCCUACGGGAGGCAGCAGUAGGGAAUCUUCGGCAAUGGACGAAAGUCUGACCGAGCAACGCCGCGUGAGUGAAGAAGGUUUUCGGAUCGUAAAACUCUGUUGGUAGAGAAGAACGUUGGUGAGAGUGGAAAGCUCAUCAAGUGACGGUAACUACCCAGAAAGGGACGGCUAACUACGU
Molecule: ribosomal RNA, 496 nt
Filed under: uncultured bacterium
Lineage: Bacteria
Description: partial 16S ribosomal RNA
Rfam family: Bacterial small subunit ribosomal RNA
Source: RNAcentral